Molecule: ribosomal RNA, 1407 nt
Filed under: uncultured bacterium
Lineage: Bacteria
Description: bacterial SSU rRNA
Rfam family: Bacterial small subunit ribosomal RNA
Source: RNAcentral
AGAGUUUGAUCCUGGCUCAGGAUGAACGCUAGCGACAGGCUUAACACAUGCAAGUCGAGGGGCAGCGGGGGAGUAGCAAUACUCCCGCCGGCGACCGGCGCACGGGUGAGUAACACGUAUGAAACCUGCCCGUAGCAGGGGGGAUAAGCGGAAGAAAUUCCGUCUAAUACCGCGUAACAACCCUUGGAGGCAUCUCCUCGGGUUUAAAGGAAGCGAUUCCGGCUACGGAUGGUCAUGCGUCGCAUUAGCUUGUUGGCGGGGUAACGGCCCACCAAGGCGACGAUGCGUAGGGGUUCUGAGAGGAAGGUCCCCCACACUGGUACUGAGACACGGACCAGACUCCUACGGGAGGCAGCAGUGAGGAAUAUUGGUCAAUGGCCGCAGGGCUGAACCAGCCAAGUCGCGUGAGGGAUGACGGUCCUAUGGAUUGUAAACCUCUUUUGUCAGGGAGCAAAGGGCGCCACGUGUGGCGUUUUGCGAGUACCUGAAGAAAAAGCAUCGGCUAACUCCGUGCCAGCAGCCGCGGUAAUACGGAGGAUGCGAGCGUUAUCCGGAUUUAUUGGGUUUAAAGGGUGCGCAGGCGGAAUGUCAAGUCAGCGGUAAAAUUUCGGGGCUCAACCCCGUCGUGCCGUUGAAACUGGCGUUCUUGAGUGAGCGAGAAGUAUGCGGAAUGCGUGGUGUAGCGGUGAAAUGCAUAGAUAUCACGCAGAACUCCGAUUGCGAAGGCAGCAUACCGGCGCUCAACUGACGCUCAUGCACGAAAGCGUGGGUAUCGAACAGGAUUAGAUACCCUGGUAGUCCACGCAGUAAACGAUGAAUACUGGCUGUGUGGCCCGACAGAGGGCUGCGUGGCGUAGCGAAAGCGUUAAGUAUUCCACCUGGGGAGUACGUUCGCAAGAAUGAAACUCAAAGGAAUUGACGGGGACCCGCACAAGCGGUGGAGCAUGUGGUUUAAUUCGAAGCAACGCGAAGAACCUUACCAAGUCUUGACAUCCCUCUGACGUAGGUAGAAAUACUUAUUCCCUUCGGGGCAGGGGAGACAGGUGGUGCAUGGUUGUCGUCAGCUCGUGUCGUGAGAUGUUGGGUUAAGUCCCGCAACGAGCGCAACCCUUAUUCUUAGUAGCCAGCGAGUAAAGUCGGGCACUCUAGGGAGACUGCCAGGGAUAACCUGGAGGAAGGUGGGGAUGACGUCAAAUCAUCAUGCCCCUUAUGAUUUGGGCUACACACGUGCUACAAUGGCGUAAACAAAGGGAGGCGAAGGAGCGAUCUGGAGCGAACCCCAAAAAUAACGUCUCAGUUCGGAUUGCAGGCUGCAACCCGCCUGCAUGAAGCCGGAAUCGCUAGUAAUCGCAGAUCAGAAUGCUGCGGUGAAUACGUUCCCGGGUCUUGCACUCACAGCCCGUCAAG